GAUGAACGCUGGCGGCGUGCUUAACACAUGCAAGUCGAACGAUGAAGCCCAGCUUGCUGGGUGGAUUAGUGGCGAACGGGUGAGUAACACGUGAGUAACCUGCCCUUAACUCUGGGAUAAGCCUGGGAAACUGGGUCUAAUACCGGAUAGGAGCGCCUACCGCAUGGUGGGUGUUGGAAAGAUUUAUCGGUUUUGGGUGGACUCGCGGCCUAUCAGCUUGUUGGUGAGGUAAUGGCUCACCAAGGCGACGACGGGUAGCCGGCCUGAGAGGGUGACCGGCCACACUGGGACUGAGACACGGCCCAGACUCCUACGGGAGGCAGCAGUGGGGAAUAUUGCACAAUGGGCGAAAGCCUGAUGCAGCGACGCCGCGUGAGGGAUGACGGCCUUCGGGUUGUAAACCUCUUUCAGUAGGGAAGAAGCGAAAGUGACGGUACCUGCAGAAGAAGCACCGGCUAACUACGUG
Molecule: ribosomal RNA, 466 nt
Filed under: uncultured bacterium
Lineage: Bacteria
Description: partial 16S ribosomal RNA
Rfam family: Bacterial small subunit ribosomal RNA
Source: RNAcentral